RNAcentral lists this ribosomal RNA (675 nucleotides) under Triticum aestivum (bread wheat). Its description in RNAcentral is "partial small subunit ribosomal RNA". The record is from RNAcentral. Lineage: Eukaryota; Viridiplantae; Streptophyta; Magnoliopsida; Poales; Poaceae.
AUGCUCUUCUCCUAUUAUUUUGUUGUUCUUAACCACCUUAUCGACACUGAUUAUCAGCAGGAGGACACCGGAGCGAGUAACCCGGUGAUUGAAGAGGUAACUAUACUUUCCUCCGACUCGGAGCCCUUGCCAAGGCUGAAAGUCCGAAGAGUAACCCGGAAAGUAAGAUUUUCCCAUUCUUUAGCUUAUCAAGAUCCUCAAUUUCUUUUGAAGCAACAUAUUCAUGAGAGCCGGAGGCAAACCCGGGCCAACAAGGAUGCAGACCUCUCCUUCGGCUUACCUGAAGCAUCAAGGAAGCGCCAGACCGAGGUUAUCUCCAACUUAUAUCCUUUUCAUCCUUUGGCGGGCAUCACACGUCAACCACUCAACUCUUCUGAUUCAAAUUAUCAAGAAACUUCACCUUCCUCCGGUGACUCCAUGCAAUCUAACUUGCCGGCUUUCAAGACUGCACCCGGCGCACAAGCAAAGCUCAGCAAGAGGGCAAAGAAAAAUCACCCGGUCGAAGAACCGGUCUUGACUGAACCCACCGCCUCUGCUUCUGAGCCGCCGUCUGCACCAAACACCACCACUCCAACUGAACAACAAGCCGCGGAGAGUUCUGACAACCCGGAGAUCCCCAGCUCAGCUCAACCGGCCGAUGACCCGGAUGUGGUGAUUACCCGCCGAAUAUGUUGA